This 486-nucleotide ribosomal RNA is filed under the name uncultured bacterium. RNAcentral's name for it is "bacterial SSU rRNA". It matches the Rfam family "Bacterial small subunit ribosomal RNA", at positions 28 to 507 of the family's 1533-position model. The record is from RNAcentral.
GAUGAACGCUAGCUACAGGCUUAACACAUGCAAGUCGAGGGGCAGCGCAGUGUAGCAAUACAUGGGCGGCGACCGGCGCACGGGUGCGUAACGCGUAUCCAACCUUCCCGUUACUCAGGGAUAGCCUUCCGAAAGGGAGAUUAAUACCUGAUGGUGUUUGAAUUCCGCAUGUUAUUCAAACUAAAGAUUUAUCGGUAACGGAUGGGGAUGCGUGACAUUAGGUAGAUGGCGGGGUAACGGCCCACCAUGCCUACGAUGUCUAGGGGUUCUGAGAGGAAGGUCCCCCACACUGGAACUGAGACACGGUCCAGACUCCUACGGGAGGCAGCAGUGAGGAAUAUUGGUCAAUGGUCGGAAGACUGAACCAGCCAAGUAGCGUGAAGGAUGAAGGUUCUAUGGAUUGUAAACUUCUUUUAUACGGGAAUAAAACCUCCCACGUGUGGGAGCUUGUAUGUACCGUAUGAAUAAGCAUCGGCUAACUCCGUG